GCCGGGGUGGUGGAAUUGGUAGACACGCUACUUUGAGGUGGUAGUGGGAGAAAUCCUGUGGGGGUUCGAGUCCCCCCUUCGGCACCA
Molecule: transfer RNA, 87 nt
Filed under: Humidesulfovibrio sp.
Lineage: Bacteria; Pseudomonadati; Thermodesulfobacteriota; Desulfovibrionia; Desulfovibrionales; Desulfovibrionaceae
Description: tRNA-Leu
Rfam family: tRNA
About the family: Transfer RNA (tRNA) molecules are approximately 80 nucleotides in length. Their secondary structure includes four short double-helical elements and three loops (D, anti-codon, and T loops).
Source: RNAcentral